Molecule: ribosomal RNA, 119 nt
Filed under: Pteropus alecto (black flying fox)
Lineage: Eukaryota; Metazoa; Chordata; Mammalia; Chiroptera; Pteropodidae
Source: RNAcentral
GUCUACGGCCAUGCCACCCUGAACAAGCCCGAUCCCGUCUGAUCUCGGAAGCUAAGCAGGGUCGGGCCUGGUUAGUACUUGGAUGGGAGACCGCCUAGGAAGACCAGAUGCUGCAGGCG